Molecule: long non-coding RNA, 945 nt
Organism: Gallus gallus (chicken)
Lineage: Eukaryota; Metazoa; Chordata; Aves; Galliformes; Phasianidae
Source: Ensembl
GGUUCCUCUCCUGUUUAACUUGGCUAAGGACGGACACUUGGAUGGCUUUCCCCACUGCACAGGACACCAUCUGCAUCAGCCUCCGGUUUUCCUAUGGAACUGUGUAUUUAACAUUCUUCAUCCUGAGAUGUUAAUGGGACUGAUGUCAGCAUCCACUCAGCACAGUUUUGCCAUCCAGCAUCUCGGCUCUUGUUACGGUUAAUGGAAAGGAGAGCAUUUAUGUACCUGCAGGAUCUUUUCCUAGUGUCCUCUGAUACAUAAAGAAGAUUUGUGAAACAAACAAAAGCUUCUCUAAGGGGAGAAGGACUGGACUAGAGGUACCUUCACACAUCGGAGAGUCCGUGGUUCCAUGAUUCUGUAUUCAAAGAAAGCCCUUCUGGAGUAGCAUGGAGACAAAAUAACUUCUCUGAUAGGAGAGGAACGAGUGAAAUGGCACCAAUUUAUCUUGAGACAAGCAAGAAAGGAAGCAGAAAAAGGCAUGAAAUGUUCCAGGUACCUGUCCCAGAAAAGAAGAAGAACAGCAUACCCCGGAGGACUUUGCAUUCAGAGAGGAGAUAAAACACCUGGCAAAGUCAAGGGACCUAGCUCUCUUCCCUUCUGCUCGCCCUGACUGCACAUCUCAUCUCAGCAUUAGAGCACGGAUCUGUGGGUCCCUCUGUCCCACUAGUCACAGAACUGGGCCAAACCAGCCCAUAAACCUUUGACAGUGUCUGACAUGGAAACAUACAUGAAGCAAAGGUGUGUCACUGAAUUCCUCUGUGCAGAAAAAAAUGGCACCCAUUGACACCAGUGCUUGCUGAAUGUUUUUUAUGGAGAUCAAGCACAGUGAACGCAGUGAGGUGAUGAGUGGCACGUUUCAGCAGUGGUUACAGUGACAUGAAAGACAAGACACAUUCCAGAUGGCCAUGUACGGCUUUCACACCACAAAAUGAAGAGCAUCUCAAU